GGAGAAGCCUCCAGGGGAGGACAAUCAUUGCAAAACUACAUGGAAGAAGAUGACUCUUUAAAGCAAUUACAAGUAGUUCAUCAACCAUGGAUAUUGCCAAGCGACACAGAAAGUGAAGGAGUGGAAGCAGAACAAGAUAAACGUCUGUGAAACAGGCAGAAGAAGUUGCAAAUGGUCCUUUAAAAAAAAUUGCUGUUAUUCAAAUCCUUAUGUAGAGUUCUAAUUUUAUUUACUAUGUGUAAUCAUUUAGAGAAUGGUUAUUUUUAUAAUAUCAAUAAUAAACAAGGACUCUUGU
RNAcentral lists this long non-coding RNA (295 nucleotides) under Sus scrofa (pig). RNAcentral describes it as "lncRNA (ENSSSCG00015016283.1)". The record is from RNAcentral. Lineage: Eukaryota; Metazoa; Chordata; Mammalia; Artiodactyla; Suidae.